Molecule: long non-coding RNA, 819 nt
Organism: Pieris rapae (cabbage white)
Lineage: Eukaryota; Metazoa; Arthropoda; Insecta; Lepidoptera; Pieridae
Exons: 2
Source: RefSeq, a predicted model, not a curated record
UGCCGAGAUCUAUAGAGCGCACUUACACUUUGCUCAGACUAAACUUUCGAGUUAAGUCAUAUUUGGUAUUUAUAGAGCAAACUACGAAUCUCUCGGAGUGUUGGCUUAGCUUAAUCUCAAGUCGACGAAAUCGACGACUUACCAAAAUCUUUGACUAUAAGCCUAACAAAAACAAUGGCCCAAAAUUUACUUUGCCAUCAUAUCUUUUACUUGACUUUUUAUUUUGUCGUAUCUGCCCUAUAGCAGUGACAUAUGUUGACAACAAAAUUCAAAAUAACUUCAACACUCGCUUCAAAUCUGUUAUUUUCGUUUGCCUAAAAAUAUAAAUAUCUUAGAUAUUUAAUCUUCUACCUCUUAUUACCUGACGACCCUGCUUGCUCAACGGAUUUUGUACCUGCUUAAACGACUGACCACGGCUAUUCUCACUCGGACCGGACUCGCGCACAAAAAAAUGCAGAACAGAAAAUGGGCAAAACCGAAACCCUACUCGGAAUUUGAGAGGCAACUGCUCGUACAGUUGGUGCAGUAAUUUAAUAACUGUAACGUGUCACAUACUCUGGUACUGAUCAUGACAAUAAUAAUGAAAGCUGGAGACCAAAGAGGGCAAGAGCGUCCACUAUAGAUGCCACAUUUAAAUAUGUAAAUCAGCCGGGAACAAGCCACAACUGGACUGAACAAGCUGGGUUGACGGAAAACAGUGUUGAAGUCACCACUAAAAGUGAAUCAGCAAGCAGAAAAAUUAAACCUUCAUUUGAGGACCUUAAAAAAACUUGCUGUGGCAAGAGUUGGACAACAACAAAAGAAGAUAUGAGAUAGAAA